This 253-nucleotide unclassified non-coding RNA is filed under the name uncultured Flavobacteriaceae bacterium. RNAcentral's name for it is "contains 16S-23S intergenic spacer region". It matches the Rfam family "Bacterial small subunit ribosomal RNA", at positions 524 to 776 of the family's 1533-position model. Lineage: Bacteria; Pseudomonadati; Bacteroidota; Flavobacteriia; Flavobacteriales; Flavobacteriaceae. The record is from RNAcentral.
UACGGAGGAUCCAAGCGUUAUCCGGAAUCACUGGGUUUAAAGCGUGCGUAGGCGGGACAAUAAGACAGAGGUGAAAGUCUGCAGCUUAACUGUAGAAUUGCCAUUGAUACUGUUGUGCUUGAGUGUUUAUGAAGUGGUUAGAAUAUGUAGUGUAGCGGUGAAAUGCAUAGAUAUUACAUAGAAUACCGAUUGCGAAGGCAGAUCACUAAUAAAAUACUGACGCUGAUGGACGAAAGCGUAGGUAGCGAACAGG